RNAcentral lists this transfer RNA (74 nucleotides) under Phaeodactylibacter sp. RNAcentral describes it as "tRNA-His". It matches the Rfam family "tRNA". From Rfam's summary of the family: Transfer RNA (tRNA) molecules are approximately 80 nucleotides in length. Their secondary structure includes four short double-helical elements and three loops (D, anti-codon, and T loops). Lineage: Bacteria; Pseudomonadati; Bacteroidota; Saprospiria; Saprospirales; Haliscomenobacteraceae. The record is from RNAcentral.
GUGGGUAUAGCUCAGCUGGUUAGAGCACCAGAUUGUGGUUCUGGGGGUCGUCGGUUCAAAUCCGAUUACCCACC